This 194-nucleotide ribosomal RNA is filed under the name uncultured bacterium. RNAcentral describes it as "partial 16S ribosomal RNA". It matches the Rfam family "Bacterial small subunit ribosomal RNA", at positions 1309 to 1500 of the family's 1533-position model. The record is from RNAcentral.
AACUCGACUCCAUGAAGCUGGAUUCGCUAGUAAUCGCGCAUCAGCCAUGGCGCGGUGAAUACGUUCCCGGGCCUUGUACACACCGCCCGUCACACCAUGAGGGUCGAUAACACCCGAAGCCUGUGAGCUAACCUUUCAGGAGGCAGCAGUCGAAGGUGGGGUUGAUGAUUGGGGUGAAGUCGUAACAAGGUAUC